Molecule: ribosomal RNA, 453 nt
Filed under: uncultured bacterium
Lineage: Bacteria
Description: partial 16S ribosomal RNA
Rfam family: Bacterial small subunit ribosomal RNA
Source: RNAcentral
GGCGAACGCUGGCGGCGUGCUUAACACAUGCAAGUCGAACGCUCGUAGCAAUACGAGAGUGGCGGACGGGUGAGUAACGCGUGGGAAUCUACCUAGCGGCGGGGAAUAACCUCGGGAAACUGAGGCUAAUUCCGCAUACGUCCUUCGGGAGAAAGGCUUCGGCCACCGCUUGAGGAGCCCGCGUCCGAUUAGCUAGUUGGUGAGGUAACGGCUCACCAAGGCGACGAUCGGUAGCUGGUCUGAGAGGAUGAUCAGCCACACUGGGACUGAGACACGGCCCAGACUCCUACGGGAGGCAGCAGUGGGGAAUAUUGGACAAUGGGGGAAACCCUGAUCCAGCGACGCCGCGUGGGUGAUGAAGGCCUUCGGGUUGUAAAGCCCUUUCGUCCACGAUGAUGAUGACAGUAGUGGAAGAAGAAGCUCCGGCUAACUUCGUGCCAGCCGCCGCCGUAA